CAAAUUCACUGAGGUCAGCAUGAACCACAUGUGCGUUGCAGAUUUCUCCUAGACUCUCUUGGACCAUGUUCUUUAAGAAAAAAUCUAUUAUGUCCGUAUGUUGAACUUGACGACCCAACUGUUUGGCUUCUGCAGGUGCAUAGGCCAUUGGCAUCCAGCUUUUCUUACUGGGUGGAAUGAGAUUUUCAUCCCAAGUCACAAAGUAGAGAUCACCAUCAAGGUCACUCCCUGAUGCUUCAUUUGAAUGUGGCCUAUCCCCUUUCUGAGGGAAGACCAGACAAUCAUAGAGAUGGUGUAAACCAGGAACAUCUACAGCCUCCAGAAUCCUCACAUCCCCGGGAUGAAGACACGGGUUCUUUGCAAUUACAACAAGGCCCUUUACUACUUGAAGAUUUUUCUUGAUUUCAGAAAACUCUGGACCAUGCUUAACAAAACAGGUCUCCAAAGAAGGGCUUGACACUUGAAUAAAGCAUUGGCCUUGCUCAAGUUCACCUAAUUCAUCCAAACAGCCCAUCAACCACCUUCCUGAAGUAACAAACAUCCUUGUCUUAUUCCUGAGGUCGCCAAGCUGAGCAGCUCUAAUGCUAGCCAACAUCCCUCUCAAAUGAGGUUCACUUUGAGGUUUAAACCCUGCACUCAACAUUAUAGCCGCUGUAUUUCCUGCCUCGGCACAUGAAGCUGUAAUCACAUCAAAAGCCACGUCCGAAUCCACAAGUAUCUUAUCCAACUUUGAUAACAUUUCUUUCUGCAUUUCCCAAAACAUUUCAUCUUUAACUUCCAAGGAUGAGAGCAAGG
This 795-nucleotide unclassified non-coding RNA is filed under the name Hevea brasiliensis (rubber tree). The record is from RNAcentral. Lineage: Eukaryota; Viridiplantae; Streptophyta; Magnoliopsida; Malpighiales; Euphorbiaceae.